RNAcentral lists this long non-coding RNA (214 nucleotides) under Capsicum annuum. RNAcentral's name for it is "long non-coding RNA (CANN_LNC015902)". Lineage: Eukaryota; Viridiplantae; Streptophyta; Magnoliopsida; Solanales; Solanaceae. The record is from RNAcentral.
CUAGUUUGGGAGAUCACCUUCUUGAAACUCCGAAUAAAGAGCUUAUUGUACAUAAUGCUGCGGAAUCUUCAUUAGUAGCUGAAGUGAAAGAGAAGCAAUAUGCAGAUCCUAUUUUAUUAUAGCUUAAGGAGAACGUUCAGAGUGGUGUGACCAAGGCAUUUGAGCUUACGCGAGAAGGAGUACUUCAGUGCCAAAACCGAUUAUGUGUGCCGGA